CUCUGUUCUAAAACUAGCGAAAGAAAUGACCCAUGUAUGCAAAAGGGGCGGCCCCUGUCCCCGCAGCAGUCCAGGACUGAGAGAAAAGAGGACAGGGCCUGGGGCACACUCUUAUGGGUGCCUGAAUAGGCGGAAAGACCCCCUGCAAUUCAUCAUUGCGGCAGAGUAAGGGCCCCCUUUCUGUUUGGAGUGAGAGCUCCUAUUUAUUUGAUUUCAUGUUGUACCCUGCACCCGUGUCCCUAAUCCACCUGUCCACAUGCCGCCACCCAGGCACCUCCAGGCCACCUCUGUUUGCACCAUCAGCCCUCACAGAUGUGAGGUGUCCACACUGGUAUGUCCUGGGAACCGCAGGCUGCAAGGUCUGUGCCAGCUGCCCCUUGAGGCUCUGGUCCCCCUGCUCCUGCAUGCCGAGGGCUGCAGUAAGUAGAGCCUGGCGGUGCUGGCACAGCCCCAUUCUGACCCCGGAACCCUGGGUAGGCCCCAUUGUGACAGGGUGCCUGGGGCAGAGAGCACUGAUGCCCUUCGUGUGCUUGUCUGACUUAAGAGGCCCAGAGAACCUCCUUGUGUAGGCAUGCUUCACCAUCGCGUUGGAUCCCAGAGUGGCCAUUCCCCACCGCCCUUCUCAUUUAGCCGGGGGCCUUCCUGGUUUUCGGUAGGACGCGUGAUUUUCCAUUGAAGCCCGACGUCUUCACAUCACAUGAGCACAGACAGAAAGGUUUGUUGGCCUUGUUUUACAAGUCUUACAGCUUUCGGGAUGCCCGGGUAGUUCAGCAGUGAAGUGUCUGCCUUUGGCUCGGGGCGUGAUCCCGAAGUUCCAGGAUGGAGUCCCACGUCAGGCUCCCUACAUGGGGCCUGCUUCUCCCUCUGCCUGUGUCUCUGCAUCCCUCUGUCUCUCUUUCUGUCUCUCAUGUUAUUCAAGAAUAUUCAUAAAUAAAAUCUUUAAAAAAGUCUUACGGCUUUCUAGGAAAUUGUUCGUUAGCGCUUCACUUUUUGCCCUUGGUUAUAAAACUAAGGGACCCAGUGCAGCGGUGCUAUGCCAGCAGGAGAAGGUAGGUGUUCGCUACCAGGGGCAAGGUUGCGGCGAUACCAAGCCUCUGCUCUGAGCAGGCGCGUGUGCUGCUGUCGACCACGGUGGCUCCUAUAACUAAAAUGCUGUGUUUGUGUAUGUUUGUGUGCCUGCUCCAAGAGUCAGGAGUCCAUCAAAGUGACUUUCCUC
Molecule: long non-coding RNA, 1216 nt
Organism: Canis lupus familiaris (dog)
Lineage: Eukaryota; Metazoa; Chordata; Mammalia; Carnivora; Canidae
Exons: 3
Source: RefSeq, a predicted model, not a curated record